AUGCUAAAGGAUUUACCCGAGA
This 22-nucleotide non-coding RNA is filed under the name Arabidopsis thaliana (thale cress). Lineage: Eukaryota; Viridiplantae; Streptophyta; Magnoliopsida; Brassicales; Brassicaceae. The record is from RNAcentral.